This is a long non-coding RNA of Betta splendens (Siamese fighting fish), 1293 nucleotides long. RefSeq lists it as uncharacterized. Lineage: Eukaryota; Metazoa; Chordata; Actinopteri; Anabantiformes; Osphronemidae. The transcript is spliced from 3 exons. The record is from RefSeq and is a predicted model, not a curated record.
UCACAGUGUGAUUCAAACAUACUAAUAAUUAUCCUAAAUAUGCAAAUGCUACAUUUAAAAUAAACCAGGCGCUCAGGGGGAAUCAGUAAAGAUUAAAAGGAAACCCUUUCUACUGAGAGCAGCAGAGGACACUUGUAUGUGCUGCAGUGUCCAUAGCUCAUCUCGUCAAGAACCUCUGAGGGACGACGUGCGUUUGAUCUACUUACGCUUGAAGAACAGGACAGACAUCACGAGUCCUAAGCCCAGACCAGCGCCUGAGACGGAGAGGAAACAUCACAUAAGAUUCUAUAUAGGAGUCUACGUGUUUGCUCACAAUGCACAGCCUCACUGGUCCAAACUGAGCCGGGUCAAGGAACAACAGAGAGGGCGAAGCAGCAGGCAGAACGAGUACCCUGGACGAACAGAUGAUCAGAGGCGAAGGGAGUGGAAAUCAGAGAGAAAUGAUCAAAGAAGCAGAAGAUGACCUUUUAUUUACUUAUAUGUUUAAUCUUAUGUUCCACUGAUUAUUAAUGAUAAAUAAAAUAAUUAUUAAUCUACUAUUGUUGAUUCUUAUAAUUGAUUUCUGAUGAUGAUUUAUUUACUAUUGUGUUGAUUCUUAUAUUCAGUUGAUUGCUAAUAAUAAGAAAAUAUCUUAAGAAACAAUGAUUUUCAUGUUUGAAUAAGUAUUAAGGAUGAUGCAUUACUUGCUAGACUGUAUUGAUUCUUAUCUUUAGCAGAUGACAAUGAUAAGGAUAAUGAAAUAGCAAAUGGUAAAUUACCUGAUGAUUUUUAUGGGGUUAAUGCAUAUGAGGAACUAUUAAACAGGGUAAUGUUAACGAGCUAGGUGCAAGUUUUGAUAAAUCUAAUGUGCAAGCUGAGUUUAUUUUAAUCCUGUGUGCUCAGUCUAGGUUUUUGCAGUGCGGGUGGAAAGUCCCCAGAUAUCAAAAUGAGAAGUGUCCAAAUUAAGUCACGUUGCCAGGUGCGAAGUGAAGUUCAGCUCAUGACUGUUCAAGUGUACUUGGCAGCGGAGCAUCUUCAUCCAGACGAGAUCAAGCAUCCCAGGGAGAAUCAAGUUCAAAACUGCAGUGGACGGGAUGGAGACAAAUUAUCCACAUUAUCUCCAACUCAAUGGCUUUCAAGCUGACGCCCAAACUACCAGCAACAUAGAGGUUAUAAAACCAGUAAAGCACUCAGAAAGACUGAAUAAUGGUUUUGACUGUAUUCUGAGUGUAAUUUUUUGAUUUCUGAUACUGAUCUUUUUUAUUAUUAGCCAUUGCCUUUUGCUUAUACCUGAAUAAACUACCAGCUUUGGAG